GAUUAUUUUCUUAUAUGCAAUGAAAUGUAGUGUGAAAUUUUCACUGUAUCACUGGAAAGGAUUAAACUUUACACAUGCAAAGUAUUUCUUUGGUUGAAUUAAAGGUAAAUACUGUACAUUUUUUUUUAAAAGUGCCAAUUUAACAAAGACUAAUAGGGAAAAAUCAAUGGUGGUAUUACACCUAUUUAGGGAAACUACAUAUGCACUCGUGACCUUAUUGUACUUUCAUUUUUAAAAGUUAUUAAUAAACCAGUUCAUACAUUGUAAACAUGGACUAUUCGGAAUGGAUUUAGACACAGAGAGCACGUUUGAGGUAAAAUUGCCUUGAAAUGAGGGUUUACGGGUGUUUUCUAAGUCAAAUGAGUGGACAGACAAAGCUGUAUUUAGUUUACUGUGUUAAAUUUUAAAUUACCCUGACAGAUUUGUUUAUACAACAUGUGAUUUUUUUUAUUUCAGUGUUAACCAUGUUCUGAAGAGCAUUCUGUUGAAAAAUCUCAUAUGUGAAUUGGUCUGCAGAUGACACUUCAGCAUUAAAGUAAGUAUCAACUAUCAUCAUGUUUUUUUUGUUUUUUUUUUUUUGGCCGCAAAAGUUUACAAUUUGCCAUUGUGCCGUCUACAUUUUGCACAGACAAUAAAUCAUCUAAACACUUAUUUGCCCUGGAUUUAUACACAUCAGAAUCCAGUCUCACAUACUUAAACUUUAUAAUUCUUACCAAUUAUUUUUUGUACCAGCAUUCCAAGGGACAUAACCCUUUUUAAAAACAUUUUGAGGUAUUUUUUAUUACUCUUUCUCCCCAUUUUCUAAUGUAAAAUACAAGAAAGUGGACUCUUUGUGUAAAUCUAUUAGAAAUAUACUGUUAUGAGUAAAUAAAAAGACUUUGAUACCAGUAACAAUAAAUGAUUGACUGAAAGGGAACCGUUAUUUGUCACACUAGGCGAACAGACCAAAAACUUGAGUUACACAUAAGGGCUUAUAGAAACUUCCGUGUAGACUGUUAACAUUUAUAGAGACAGUUCUUUCAGCUAAAACACUUUAAUUAUUGAUUUAACAUAACAUUUAUUUCAUUUUUGUGGGGAAAUAAUCACAUUUGUUUUAAUUUUUAGACAAAAGAUAUCAAGUUUUGAUGAAAAAGGAAGGAAGGAGGAAAAAUGGACCAAAACAGACCAAAACAGACCUUCAAAUGAACUCUAAAAGGUGCAAUAAAAUUGUUUAUCAUCUUAAAGUUGUCUUUUGUAUUCUAUAUAAUUGUUUGAAUGCAUAGAUCAUGAGUUUAUGAUCAGAUAUUAGUCAACACUGCAUUUUAUAAUAAUACACUGAAAUUAGGAUUUUUCGAAGAAAUUAGACUGAAAUUGCCGUAGGAUAUGGCCUUACAUUAUAGUGAUUUUCUCUGAAACUAUAGCUCUGACUGAGACAAAACUUGACAGUUAUGCUUGAAAUAACUUGCAAUUGGAGGGGAAAAAAUUACAUUAAGUUUAUUUGACAUUUAGGUGUUCUUUAGGUGUAAUACCACCAAAUCAUGGUACGUCACAUCCGGUUGCAUACGAAAGUAGGCCUAAAAAAAUAUUCCCUUGAAUUUGACAGUUGUAGAAAAUUAACCCUGCAUUUCAAUGCACUUAAAUUUUUCUGAGUCGUAAAUAUGUAUGUUGGAUGUCUGAAAGCAUCAUUCUUUUUUUUAUUUGAUGGUCUUAUAAAAUA
RNAcentral lists this long non-coding RNA (1696 nucleotides) under Mytilus galloprovincialis (Mediterranean mussel). The record is from RNAcentral. Lineage: Eukaryota; Metazoa; Mollusca; Bivalvia; Mytilida; Mytilidae.